GAAAUGCGAUAAGUAGUGUAAAUUGCAGAAUUCAGUAAAUCAUCAAAUCUUUAAACGCACAUUGCGCCCUUUGGUAUUCCUUAGGGCAUGCCUGUUCGAGCAUCAUCUAAACCUUCAAGCACUGCUUGGUGUUAGGUGCCUGUCCCGCCCCCGCGCGUAGACUCACCUCAAAUCCAUUAGCGGCCCUCACGUCGGCUUCAAGCGCAGCAGAAACGCGAACUCGAGGCCCGUCAGAGCAGCUCCCAGAAGCUACAUUCACCAUUUUAACCUCAGAUCAGGUAGGGAUACCCGCUAAACUUAA
This 301-nucleotide unclassified non-coding RNA is filed under the name uncultured fungus. RNAcentral describes it as "sequence contains ITS1". The stretch from base 1 to 105 matches the Rfam family "5.8S ribosomal RNA", at positions 50 to 154 of the family's 154-position model. The record is from RNAcentral. Lineage: Eukaryota; Fungi.